AUUGAACGCUGGCGGCAUGCCUUACACAUGCAAGUCGAACGGCAGCGGACCUUCGGGUGCCGGCGAGUGGCGAACGGGUGAGUAAUAUAUCGGAACGUACCUUUCAGUGGGGGAUAACGUAGCGAAAGUUACGCUAAUACCGCAUAUUCUGUGAGCAGGAAAGCAGGGGAUCGCAAGACCUUGCGCUGAUUGAGCGGCCGAUAUCAGAUUAGCUAGUUGGUGAGGUAAAGGCUCACCAAGGCGACGAUCUGUAGCGGGUCUGAGAGGAUGAUCCGCCACACUGGAACUGAGACACGGUCCAGACUCCUACGGGAGGCAGGCAGUGGGGAAUUUUGGACAAUGGGCGCAAGCCUGAUCCAGCCAUGCCGCGUGAGUGAAGAA
This 381-nucleotide ribosomal RNA is filed under the name uncultured bacterium. RNAcentral describes it as "bacterial SSU rRNA". It matches the Rfam family "Bacterial small subunit ribosomal RNA", at positions 30 to 412 of the family's 1533-position model. The record is from RNAcentral.